This 433-nucleotide ribosomal RNA is filed under the name uncultured bacterium. RNAcentral describes it as "partial 16S ribosomal RNA". It matches the Rfam family "Bacterial small subunit ribosomal RNA", at positions 29 to 507 of the family's 1533-position model. The record is from RNAcentral.
AACGAACGCUGGCGGCAUGCCUAACACAUGCAAGUCGAACGAAACCUUCGGGUCUAGUUGCGCACCUGUGCGUGACGCGUGGUAACCUACCCUUAGGUUCGGUAUCACUCCCCUUGAGGUGUGCUAAUACCGCAUAAUGUCUUCCGGCCAAGGAUUUAUCGCCUUUGGAUGGGCCCUCGUUGGAUUAGGUAGUUGGUAGUGUAAAAGCCUAGCAAGGCGAGGAUGCAUAGCUGGUCUGAGACGAGGAUCAACCAGGCUGGGAAUGAGACACGGACCAGAAUGCUACGGAAGGGAGCAGAGGAGAAUAUUAGAGAAGGGGCGAAAGCCUGACAAAGCAAUGUCGGGUGAGUGAUGAAGGGGUUAGGGUUCUAAAGCUGUUUUAGCCGAGACGAGAAUGACAGUAAUGGGAGAAGAAGCUCCGGCUAACUACGUG